This 337-nucleotide unclassified non-coding RNA is filed under the name soil metagenome. RNAcentral's name for it is "partial contains 5.8S ribosomal RNA, internal transcribed spacer 2, and large subunit ribosomal RNA". The stretch from base 1 to 120 matches the Rfam family "5.8S ribosomal RNA", at positions 35 to 154 of the family's 154-position model. The record is from RNAcentral.
GAUGAAGAACGUAGCGAAAUGCGAUAAGUAAUGUGAAUUGCAGAAUUCAGUGAAUCAUCGAAUCUUUGAACGCACAUUGCGCCCCUUGGUAUUCCGGGGGGCAUGCCUGUUCGAGCGUCAUUUCAACCCUCAAGCUCUGCUUGGUAUUGGGCACCGUCCUUUGCGGGCGCGCCUCAAAGACCUCGGCGGUGGCGUCUUGCCUCAAGCGUAGUAGAAUACACCUCGCUUCGGAGCGUAAGGCGUCGCCUGCCGGACGAACCUUCUGAACUUUUCUCAAGGUUGACCUCGGAUCAGGUAGGGAUACCCGCUGAACUUAAGCAUAUCAAUAAGCGGAGGA